AGAGUUUGAUCCUGGCUCAGACCUGAUCGCUGGCGGCAGGCUUAACUACUCCUUAACCCAGUGAGCCCGGAAGGGUAGCUUGCUACCUAACCUAGACCUUACCACUAGAAAGGGUGAGUAAUGCUUAGGAAUCUGCCUAUUAGUGGGGGACAACAUUCCGAAAGGAAUGCUAAUACCGCAUACGCCCUACGGGGGAAAGCAGGGGAUCUUCGGACCUUGCGCUAAUAGAUGAGCCUAAGUCAGAUUAGCUAGUUGGUGGGGUAAAGGCCUACCAAGGCGACGAUCUGUAGCGGGUCUGAGAGGAUGAUCCGCCACACUGGGACUGAGACACGGCCCAGACUCCUACGGGAGGCAGCAGUGGGGAAUAUUGGACAAUGGGCGCAAGCCUGAUCCAGCCAUGCCGCGUGUGUGAAGAAGGCCUUUUGGUUGUAAAGCACUUUAAGCGAGGAGGAGGCUACUGGUAUUAAUACUACCGGAUAGUGGACGUUACUCGCAGAAUAAGCACCGGCUAACUCUGUGCCAGCAGCCGCGGUAAUACAGAGGGUGCGAGCGUUAAUCGGAUUUACUGGGCGUAAAGCGUGCGUAGGCGGCUUUUUAAGUCGGAUGUGAAAUCCCUGAGCUUAACUUAGGAAUUGCAUUCGAUACUGGGAAGCUAGAGUAUGGGAGAGGAUGGUAGAAUUCCAGGUGUAGCGGUGAAAUGCGUAGAGAUCUGGAGGAAUACCGAUGGCGAAGGCAGCCAUCUGGCCUAAUACUGACGCUGAGGUACGAAAGCAUGGGGAGCAAACAGGAUUAGAUACCCUGGUAGUCCAUGCCGUAAACGAUGUCUACUAGCCGUUGGGGCCUUGAGGCUUUAGUGGCGCAGCUAACGCGAUAAGUAGACCGCCUGGGGAGUACGGUCGCAAGACUAAAACUCAAAUGAAUU
This 922-nucleotide ribosomal RNA is filed under the name uncultured bacterium. Its description in RNAcentral is "bacterial SSU rRNA". It matches the Rfam family "Bacterial small subunit ribosomal RNA", at positions 8 to 911 of the family's 1533-position model. The record is from RNAcentral.